AGUGAACGCUGGCGGUAGGCCUGACACAUGCCAGUCGAACGGCAGCACAGUAAGAGCUUGCUCUUACGGGUGGCGAGUGGCGGACGGGUGAGGAAUACAUCGGAAUCUACUUUUUCGUAGGGGAUAACGUAGGGAAACUUACGCUAAUACCGCAUACGACCUACGGGUGAAAGCAGGGGAUCUUCGGACCUUGCGCGAUUGAAUGAGCCGAUGUCGGAUUAGCUAGUUGGCGGGGUAAAGGCCCACCAAGGCGACGAUCCGUAGCUGGUCUGAGAGGAUGAUCAGCCACACUGGAACUGAGACACGGUCCAGACUCCUACGGGAGGCAGCAGUGGGGAAUAUUGGACAAUGGGCGCAAGCCUGAUCCAGCCAUACCGCGUGGGUGAAGAAGGCCUUCGGGUUGUAAAGCCCUUUUGUUGGGAAAGAAAAGCAGCAGGUUAAUACCCCGCUGUUCUGACGGUACCCAAAGAAUAAGCACCGGCUAACUUCGUG
This 492-nucleotide ribosomal RNA is filed under the name uncultured bacterium. RNAcentral's name for it is "partial 16S ribosomal RNA". It matches the Rfam family "Bacterial small subunit ribosomal RNA", at positions 29 to 507 of the family's 1533-position model. The record is from RNAcentral.